GGCAUAGCUCAACUGGUAGAGCAGCUGAUUUGUAAUCAGCAGGUUGGGGGUUCAAGUCCCUCUGCC
Molecule: transfer RNA, 66 nt
Filed under: Candidatus Eubacterium pullicola
Lineage: Bacteria; Bacillati; Bacillota; Clostridia; Eubacteriales; Eubacteriaceae
Also listed under: 1 other name
Rfam family: tRNA
About the family: Transfer RNA (tRNA) molecules are approximately 80 nucleotides in length. Their secondary structure includes four short double-helical elements and three loops (D, anti-codon, and T loops).
Source: RNAcentral